RNAcentral lists this ribosomal RNA (400 nucleotides) under uncultured bacterium. Its description in RNAcentral is "partial 16S ribosomal RNA". It matches the Rfam family "Bacterial small subunit ribosomal RNA", at positions 338 to 735 of the family's 1533-position model. The record is from RNAcentral.
CCUACGGGUGGCAGCAGUGAGGAAUAUUGGUCAAUGGACGCAAGCCUGAACCAGCCAUGCCGCGUGCAGGAAGACGGCCCUAUGAGUUGUAAACUGCUUUUGUACGGGGGUAAACGCAGAUACGUGUAUCUUUCUGAAUGUAUCGUAUGAAUAAGGAUCGGCUAACUCCGUGCCAGCAGCCGCGGUAAUACGGAGGAUUCAAGCGUUAUCCGGAUUUAUUGGGUUUAAAGGGUGCGUAGGCGGUCGGUUAAGUUAGAGGUGAAAGCCCGAGGCUCAACCUCGGAAUUGCAUUGGAUACUGGUCGGCUAGAGAGUAGUUGCGGUAGGCGGAAUGUAUGGUGUAGCGGUGAAAUGCGUAGAGAUCAUGCAGAACACCGAUUGCGAAGGCAGCUUACUGGGCU